RNAcentral lists this long non-coding RNA (2241 nucleotides) under Hordeum vulgare. Its description in RNAcentral is "long non-coding RNA (HVUL_LNC015035)". Lineage: Eukaryota; Viridiplantae; Streptophyta; Magnoliopsida; Poales; Poaceae. The record is from RNAcentral.
UUCAAUUAUUAUCCUCACACCCACAAGAAGGUUCAAGAUAAACACAUAUUACACCACAAUGAAAAUAUGUUUAUAAACAUGCACAUACGUUGAACGCAAGUUGACAAACAAAUUAACCUAGAGGAAGCAUAGUUUUGACCAUCUUAACAAUCAUCUAGAACACACAAGUCACAAAAAUAUAAGGACUAUUAGUUACUAUGAGAGACUUCAGAUGGUCCAGAACACACAAGUUUGUAUCUACAUGCACAAAGUGCAAGCUCCAAAACACUCGAAACACCAAAUGGUCUACAAGACAAUAAGGUCCAUGAUUACAGGUUGGUUGGUCCAUAAACGCUAGAGAGUCAUCAUGUCCAUGUGCGUCAAUAGGUUGAGUACCUAAAAACAUUUUACACAAAUUUGUCAAGAAAGUGGAACCAGAUGUAGGUGCAGUCAUCAUGACCUUCCACAUAAUUAAGGACAGAAACAUCUAUCUAAAUAAAUGACAAGAAUACAAAACAAAAGACAGAUAAAAUUAAGUUGGUUAGCUGGUAGAAGCAAGGAUAGUGGUGAGCUCAAGCAGCUUUGAAAUAUGAUUCUUUAGAAUAAAUUAAGUUGUGUAUAAUUGUAUAUACCACCUGAAAAAUGAUGCCUUUAGUAUAAACCAUGGAAGCCAGAUUUCAUAUGACAUCGCUUUGGCCGACUUUGGCAUUGUAUUUUUUUCAAAAUCACACUACUCUAAAAUCACACGAUUAUAAUGAUGAUUUUAAUCAACCACCAGAUACACUUGUAUCUGGGAGGAAAUUUUUUCAGUCGGCAAUUAUUUUUAUCUACAAAAUCAGAACUUAAACUUUGUUGUUGCUUCAAUAAAAACUUGCACAUUCAGUUUUAAUCGCGAAAGAUGGGUUUCAUCUCUCAAUUCUAUUUCUAAAAGUGAAUGGCACAACUAAUCACAAACCUCCUACAAUCUGACCAGUAUAUGAUUUUCAUCAACCACCAAAUGAGUCAUACUAAGCUAUCAUAUGCGUAUUCUCAAGAUACAGUAGCAGGUGAACAAAUACUCAUUGUUAAUGAGCGUGAUAUAUCACAGAAAUUGCCAUUGCUUUUCUUGGCAAAUGAUUUGGACAAACAUAAAGUAAAAAUGAACAAUGUGCAAGUUUCUCCUACCGGCAUUCACCCCAUUGAUAUCCUCUGUGAGAAUGAGAUCAGGCAAUGCAUCAAAAUCACUAUGCCCAAUCACCGAGAACAAAAUCUCUUCCUUCAGAAAAGUAAUCAGGAGAAAAAGAACUUAUGUUAACUAAGUAAAUAAGCAACUCAGAGGACCUCGAAAUAUUCUUGUAAACUUAGUGCUUAGAACAAGAUUCCAUAAGGCUUACCAACGAAAUGUCACGGUUAGUAACCAGAGUGUAAUUUGUCUUCUUCUCAAAGUGUUUCUUUCAGCAUAUGCCAACUCUGAAUAAUUUAGAAGUAACAAGAUUAUCAAAUUUGAGAAUGUUCAAGAGAAAAUGUGCAAUACUUGCUAGGCAAACUCAUAAUUAUGGAUUAUCAGGUGGAAAAAAAAACAAUUCACAUAGCUAAACAACUGUUUUGGUCGUUAGAUAAACAACUUCAGAUAAUUCUUCAACUAUCCAAGGUAUAUCCCAACAAGGACAAGUGCACGGCAAUUUGUGGGAGUGUACCGUUUGUCGCGACGUGCACAGUAAGCGACGGGCGGGCAGCCGGGGUUCAGCCCAACAAGGACAAAUCCACGGCAGAGAUUGCUGCCACGAAAAAGGUGCGGUUUUUUCUUGGAUCUGGAAUGCGUUUGCUGGGCGAUAUUAUUACUACGGACUACUCCCUCCGUUCCUAAAUAUAAGUCUUUUUAAAGAUGUCACUAAGGGACUACAUACGGAGCAAAACGAGUAAAUCUAUGCUCUAAAGUAUGUCUAUAUACAUCCGGAUGUAGUCUUGUAGUGAAACCUCUAAAAAGACUUAUAUUUAGGAACGGAGGGAGUACUUGCUAGAAUGUGUAUGUUUGCUGGACGGACGGCAUCUACAAAAAUCUGUCCCAACUCUGGAAGCGAUUUCUGGCCAUGGGACAAAUGCACAAGCUACACUCCGUGUAUCUGCAUGCACCAACCUGUACAGUGGCGGUUAUAUGGGUCUUCCUAUUAAUUCGCAUGGUGAAUUUCUCAUGGUCCAAUUAACCCUUAACCCUGAUGAGCUGCUUAAAGCACAAUGCUUGGGGAAGGAUUUCCUUGCCAUCAUUCAAUAUCUACAGCUGAC